AGUGAACGCUGGCGGUAGGCCUAACACAUGCAAGUCGAACGGCAGCACAGUAAGAGCUUGCUCUUACGGGUGGCGAGUGGCGGACGGGUGAGGAAUACAUCGGACUCUACUUUUUCGGGGGGGAUAACGUAGGGAAACUUACGCUAAUACCGCAUACGACCUACGGGUGAAAGCAGGGGAUCUUCGGACCUUGCGCGAUUGAAUGAGCCGAUGUCGGAUUAGCUAGUUGGCGGGGUAAAGGCCCACCAAGGCGACGAUCCGUAGCUGGACUGGGAGGAUGGUCGGCCACACUGGAACUGGGACACGGUCCAGACUCCUACGGGAGGCACCAGUGGGGAAUAUUGGACAAUGGGCGCAAGCCUGAUCCAGCCAUCCCGCGUGGGUGAAGAAGGCCUUCGGGUUGUAAAGCCCUUUUGUUGGGAAAGAAAAGCAGCAGGUUAAUACCCCGCUGUUCUGACGGUACCCAAAGAAUAAGCACCGGCUAACUUCGUG
RNAcentral lists this ribosomal RNA (492 nucleotides) under uncultured bacterium. RNAcentral's name for it is "partial 16S ribosomal RNA". It matches the Rfam family "Bacterial small subunit ribosomal RNA", at positions 29 to 507 of the family's 1533-position model. The record is from RNAcentral.